CGAAAUGCGAUAAGUAGUGUGAAUUGCAGAAUUCAGUGAAUCAUCGAAUCUUUGAACGCACAUUGCGCCCCUUGGUAUUCCAUGGGACAUGCCUGUUCGAGCGUCAUUUGUACCUUCAAGCUUUGCUUGGUGUUGGGUGUUUGUCUCGCCUCUGCGUGUAGACUCGCCUCAAAACAAUUGGCAGCCGGCGUAUUGAUUUCGGAGCGCAGUACAUCUCGCGCUUUGCACUCAUAACGACGACGUCCAAAAGUACAUUUUUACACUCUUGACCUCGGAUCAGGUAGGGAUACCCGCUGAACUUAAGC
Molecule: unclassified non-coding RNA, 305 nt
Filed under: plant metagenome
Description: partial contains 5.8S ribosomal RNA, internal transcribed spacer 2, and large subunit ribosomal RNA
Rfam family: 5.8S ribosomal RNA (bases 1-106)
Source: RNAcentral